UUCAAGUUAAUUUCCGAUGACGUUUUGGAAAUGAUUUCGUGGUCGUGGACACGAGUACGAAGCUUAGAGGAGUGUGGAAUUAGUUCGAACGAUUUUAUUUUGAAAACUGAACGUUUUAGGGGGGUCAAAGGAGUUGACUUUUUAUACAUUGGGAAAUUGGGAAAACUUCCUUCAUGAAAGUUGUAGAGCGCGUCGAUACGAGUUCGUGGACAUAUGGAACGUAAUAUUCGGAGUUCGUAUGAAUAAGUUACGAAUAUUUGAAAAUUGGGAUUUUCUAUAAAUAUGAAAAAAAAUCCGAAUAUUGCAAAUGAGGACAGAAUUUCUGGAACUCCAGAAAUUUCUCCCCAUUUCUCUCCCGAGCCCAGCCGCGACCCCCUCCCUUCGUCACCUUCGUUCUUCCUCAUCCGGCCACCGAUUGAUGUGAAACAAAGUGGGUUUUUCUGGUCUCGACCCCCUUUACGAGUUUGUAGAAGAAAUCGAAGUGAAAUACGAGCUGUAUGAGGCUCUACAAGGUCGAGAAGAGAGCCUCGUCGGAGACGAAAUCGCUCUUCCCCACUUUUUCUGGGCUCUACUUUGUCUGGCCAUAUCUUCCUCUACAGGCCUCCGAUCGACCUGAUUCCAAAAGCAAUUUUUCUCACCGUGAAGUUUUCUACAACUUUCCAGAAGACAUCGACUUGAGAUAACCAUCGUGGUGGCCGCUAGAAGACCGAGAAGCCGCACAGCCGAGCUGGAAAUCGUCUUCCUUCGCCACCUUGGUUCUCCCAGCUCCGGCCACUAUAGCUCGAGUUCUUUGAGGGCUUUUCUAGCCCAGAGGAAGUAGAAGCUAUCCCCAAGAAGGCUUGCAGCGAUUUGAUCCGGGGUGAUCGAAUUUUGAAGAUUGGGAAACUAGGGUUCUUCGGGUUUCAAAACUUGCGAGGUGAUUGACGGUCUCCCUUGGGUGAACGAUUUCGGUGUGUAUUGUGUUGAAUUGAAGACGCAGCGGGAAUAUCGAGCGGGUAAUCCUGCAGGUCAGGAGAAUCAGGACGGUGAUCGUGCGGGUUAGAGAAUUUGUUUUAGUUUUACAGCAAUUGUAAUUGUGAGGUGAGUUAUGCUCAUUUGAGCCUUACAAUAUAAUUUGGUGAGAGUGUGCUGUAAUAAACAAAUUUGAGAUUUGGUUUAUGUAAUAUCGAGCGAUGUGAGGUGUGGUUGUUUUGAGAAAAAAUUCAGGUUGUAUUUAUGUGAGUUGUAUUAAUUCAUGUUUCGGAUUUGGAUUUGUUAUUCAAAAUCCGGGGC
Molecule: long non-coding RNA, 1272 nt
Organism: Rosa rugosa (rugosa rose)
Lineage: Eukaryota; Viridiplantae; Streptophyta; Magnoliopsida; Rosales; Rosaceae
Exons: 3
Source: RefSeq, a predicted model, not a curated record